GAUAACCGUAGAUUACAAAUGGAUCGAGUGUCGGUUCGGUGACGAUGCGAACAGUUUGACUUGCUGCAUCAUAAAGUCCGCCCCAGUACAUCGCUUUAGCAACUAGCAAUAAAGCGCCAACUCCCAAAAAUAAGAGAUGAUGCCCCAAAAUUAUUCCUAAUUGUUUGGGAUCGUUCCA
RNAcentral lists this antisense RNA (178 nucleotides) under [Phormidium ambiguum] IAM M-71. RNAcentral describes it as "Phormidium ambiguum IAM M-71 Antisense RNA which regulates isiA expression". It matches the Rfam family "Antisense RNA which regulates isiA expression". Lineage: Bacteria; Bacillati; Cyanobacteriota; Cyanophyceae; Aerosakkonematales; Aerosakkonemataceae. The record is from Rfam by way of RNAcentral.